CCCCGCGCAAGCCGCGCUGCGGGGAGCGGCGGGACCGGGGGAGCAUCGCGGACGGAGCUGGAUGCGUGAGCGGGCUGCGGGGUCAGGGGAGAUGCGGCCCCGGUUCCCGUCGUGGCUCCGCGGUUCCCUCCUCCUCCUCCCCCGCCGCGGCUCCUGAUCCAUGGUUUAUAGCCAGAAGAGGCACGGGAUGAAGCCAGAGCUGGGAAAGGUCCCUGUUGGAAGCAGGGAUGUGGAUGCUCGUGGAGCCGCGGUUGAUGGGCUGCACACCCGGAGCCUGGGCAGUGGCCAUGGGGAAGCUUUCACCGUGCAGCAGCUGUUGGGUGGCUGCUGUGACAAGGGGACACUGCAGGGAAAAGCAGAAGAAAGUCGGUUGAGUCACUCCUGCUCCUGCAUCCAGGCUCUGAGCCACGCGCUUUGCAACUGGGAAAGACUAAGAUCUUAGUUCUGGCGUUCCUCAUGCCUGCUGCAGCCAGAACACAGCCUGUGCCUGCUCUUCGUGGGGGCGUUGGGAAUGCUGGCAUUGCAGCUGUGUGGUUUUAGGUCACUUCCAGAGAAGCGGAUUCAUUCUGAUGGAAGCAGCCAACUGCCUCGGCACGCAGCCGUGGUGUGAGGCAAUGAAGGAUGGUUGCCACCUCACAUCGCGUCGCUGUUGGAGGUUUUGACCUUGUUUGUGUCUGUUACUGCUGGAUUUACCUUCACUGACGUUCAAACUCUGACCCUACCAAGGUCGUUAUCAGGUCCCUCUGGAUUUCAGUGGCCAAAUGACCAAAACCAGGGAUCCCAGCAAGGGCUUCCCCUGCCUAGCGCAAAAGAAAGACCAACCUCGGCUGAACUAACUCAUCCCACUUCAAUCCCUCUCUUCAGGAGCACGUUUCGCCUUCCUGGAACUACUUGGUUCAUUAGAAAUCAGCUUGUGAAUGUAUCAGGAAUGUAAAGCUCAUAUUCCCACAGGCACAUGGGGACAUGGUGGAAUGAAUGUGUAUAUUGUAUCUCUACAAUACAGCCUCUGGGGUUGUCACACUAUUUGAAGGAGGUUUGAAACAGGGACUUCACUAACUGAGCAACUAUAUGUAGGUUUCUUAUCCUAAAAUACAGUGCUAUACCUACUCAGAUAUUAUUUAGAAAGCAUUUGAUAAGUAGCAUCAUCUGCACUGAAAAUUAAAUUAAGGAUGUUAAAGAGGAGUUUAAUAAAACAGGUUUUGGGAAAAAAAAAACAAACAUCUUUGAAGAUUCACAUUUUAGUUCAGAUUUCAGAUGCAGAUUUCCUCAAGGAUGCUGGCAGGAUGCAUUUCUCCUUUGUAUAUGUAACAUUUGUCCAUAUAGGCCAUUAUACAGCUCCUUUCAAGCUGAGUCUUAUCCUGGAAUACAGCAAAAGCCAGAUUUAAGAUAUGAAACUGGAGAUGACCACAUUUCAUACUGCAUAAAAUGCACCUCUGGAGUUUUCAGUUCUUCUUUUUUGAUGUAUUACAAAUGUAUUUAUAAAGUA
Pezoporus occidentalis (night parrot) is the source of this 1486-nucleotide long non-coding RNA. RefSeq lists it as uncharacterized. NCBI's taxonomy places the organism in Eukaryota, Metazoa, Chordata, Aves, Psittaciformes, Psittacidae. The record is from RefSeq and is a predicted model, not a curated record. The transcript has 2 exons.